GAUCUGGUUGAUUCUGCCAGUAGUCAUAUGCUUGUUUCAAGGACUUAGCCAUGCAUGCCUCAGAAUCACUGCAUUGCAGGAAUCUGCGCAUGGCUCAUUACAUCAGACGUAAUCUGCCGCAAAAAUCUUGCGGUCUCCGCAACAUUGGAUAACUUGGCGAAACGCCAAGCUAAUACAUGAACCAACCGGAUGUUCUCUGUUCCGGCGGCAGGGCAACCUGCUGCCAUGGGGCGUCCAGCGAAUGAAUGAAAGUAAAACCAAUGCCUUCACCGGCAGUAACACUCAGAAGUGUUGAUUCAAUUCAUUCCGUGCGAAAGCCGGGUUUUUUUACCCGGCGUCUUUUGACGAACAACUGCCCUAUCAGCCAGCGAUGGCCGUGUAGUGGACUGCCAUGGCGUUGACGGGAGCGGGGGAUUAGGGUUCGAUUCCGGAGAGGGAGCCUGAGAAAUAGCUACCACUUCUACGGAGGGCAGCAGGCGCGCAAAUUGCCCAAUGUC
Molecule: non-coding RNA, 497 nt
Filed under: Trypanosoma cruzi marinkellei
Lineage: Eukaryota; Euglenozoa; Kinetoplastea; Trypanosomatida; Trypanosomatidae
Description: Eukaryotic small subunit ribosomal RNA
Rfam family: Eukaryotic small subunit ribosomal RNA
Source: Rfam by way of RNAcentral